AAAGCUCCCUUCGGGGAGCGAGUAGAGUGGCGCACGGGUGAGUAACACGUAGGUAAUCUACCUUCGGAUUGGGAAUAACAACCGGAAACGGUUGCUAAUACCGAAUAAUGCAGCGGCACCUAAUGGUGACAGUUGUUAAAGCGGGGGAUCGCAAGACCUCGCGUCUGAAGAGGAGCCUGCGGCGGAUUAGCUAGUUGGUAAGGUAAUGGCUUACCAAGGCGAUGAUCCGUAGCCGGCCUGAGAGGGCGGUCGGCCACACUGACACUGACAUACGGGUCAGACUCCUACGGGAGGCAGCAGUCGGGAAUUUUGGGCAAUGGGCGAAAGCCUGACCCAGCAACGCCGCGUGAAGGAUGAAAUCCUUCGGGAUGUAAACUUCGCAAGAACGGGAAGAAUAAGCCGGUGUUAACACCACCGGUGAUGACGGUACUGUUUGUAAGCUCCGGCUAACUCCGUGCCAGCAGCCGCGGUAAUACGGGGGGAGCAAGCGUUGUUCGGAUUUACUGGGCGUAAAGGGCGGGUAGGCGGCCACCGCAAGUCAGUCGUGAAAUCUCCGGGCUUAACCCGGAAAGGUCAACUGAUACUGCGGGGCUAGAGUGCAGAAGGGGCAACUGGAAUUCUCGGUGUAGCGGUGAAAUGCGUAGAUAUCGAGAGGAACACCUGCGGCGAAGGCGGGUUGCUGGGCUGACACUGACGCUGAACUGCGAAAGCUAGGGGAGCGAACGGGAUUAGAUACCCCGGUAGUCCUAGCCUUAAACGAUGAAUGCUUGGUGUCUGGGGUUUUAUAGUCCCCGGGUGCCGUCGCUAACGCUUUAAGCAUUCCGCCUGGGGAGUAC
RNAcentral lists this ribosomal RNA (836 nucleotides) under uncultured Bacillota bacterium. Its description in RNAcentral is "bacterial SSU rRNA". It matches the Rfam family "Bacterial small subunit ribosomal RNA", at positions 70 to 883 of the family's 1533-position model. Lineage: Bacteria; Bacillati; Bacillota. The record is from RNAcentral.